RNAcentral lists this non-coding RNA (29 nucleotides) under Mus musculus (house mouse). The record is from RNAcentral. Lineage: Eukaryota; Metazoa; Chordata; Mammalia; Rodentia; Muridae.
UUCUAGGGUAGCCUAUCUAAAGGACAGGG